Long non-coding RNA from Lycium barbarum (goji berry), 1104 nucleotides. RefSeq lists it as uncharacterized. The record is from RefSeq and is a predicted model, not a curated record. The transcript has 2 exons. NCBI's taxonomy places the organism in Eukaryota, Viridiplantae, Streptophyta, Magnoliopsida, Solanales, Solanaceae.
CAAUGAAGCUCAUGUCCAGUCCAGUUCUAGACUAUUCCAUCAAAUGAAAAUUAUCUUGUGCCCUUCAUUAAAUGUAUGGAGACUCACUAAUUCCUCUAUCUUCACGUGAAGAGUGAUAUUUUUCAGGAAAAGAGCUUUUUGACUUUCAAGACGAAAGUUUCUCUUUUUUCUCCUCCACACGCUAUUUCCUCAAAAACUUACCAAAUCUUCUAAUUUCUGCUCUCUUUAUUCUCCCAUGGCAGACCACCCUCACAGUCAAACUAGCAGAACGACAACCUCAUUAUUUCAAAUUCAAAGCCAACCUAAAAUCCCGCUCAAAACUUUAAAACCUUAACCCUAGUUACAUCUAUAAAUACCAAGCUAUAGCAGCCAUUUGAAGAUAGAUUUUAGCCGCCGCCUCUUCCCCCUUUAAACUUCCUAAACACUCACUGUUUCAUACUAGUUAUCCUCUAAAAGACAAGCUUUAAAUCACGUUUUCUCCCUUCUCAGAUCUCUGUUGGCUUUCAACCGUUGAGGUGAUUUAUUUGACUUCAAUCGUGCCAUUUUAUUUGUGAGGGAGGUCGGAGUCCGCUGGAUCUAAGACCCCACGCCCUAGUUCACUGUACCCGCAAAAGAGUCUUUCAUGAAAGACUCUCACCGCUGCAUAAGUCCCUUGCGCCACUAGAUAUGGAAUCCGUGUCUUCUUUUUAGUCACUUCCCUCGUUCCCGCGAAACUCAUCCGAACAGAAAUUGCAAAGAGGGACGAGAGGAAGUCUGGAACACACAAUUAUUUCCUCAUUCAGUUCUCUCCCUCUCUUAAAAAACAUCCUAACAGGAGCAAGGAAAAGUGAGGAGAAGAAAAGAAUGACUCUUGCAUUUUUCAACUUGUUACAGGAUUUAUUAACUAUUUAUUCUCUGAUUGUGUUUGUGUUACACUUGAGAUUACUAGUCUUAGAACACCUAAUUUAGCGGGGAAGCGCAAUCGGUACAUUAUUUCAGCGGCUAUCGAGAAAGUAAUAUUUUCCGAAACUCUAUGUUAUGAACCCCAAAACGGUUUCAAAAUUGGCUAUGUAGUUUUUGAAAGCACAAACGUGAAAAAAUGAUUCUUUAUAGUCUUUUGUUCCA